Long non-coding RNA from Lagopus muta (rock ptarmigan), 6631 nucleotides. RefSeq lists it as uncharacterized. The record is from RefSeq and is a predicted model, not a curated record. The transcript is spliced from 5 exons. NCBI's taxonomy places the organism in Eukaryota, Metazoa, Chordata, Aves, Galliformes, Phasianidae.
AGGCUAGAGAGAGUUCACAGGCUCUUGGUGUCCUUUAGUGGGCGCCUGCUCCGCUGGCGGUGUGACAGCCCCGUAGUCGGGGCAUGUGUCCCAAGCUGUGGAGGCCUCUGUCCCGCGAGCGGCCCGCCCUCCCUGUAAUCAGGUGUGGGGAGGCUGCAGCAUUGCAGCCGGCUGCUCUAGCCAUCCAGCUGGUGGGAUUGAGCCCUCCCUGUCCCGUCAGAGGGUGCAGGUUGAGGUGCUGGUUUUGUGUGUGGGGUGACCUCCCCGCUCGGUGGGUCGAGGUUGCUCCCCGGGUUCCCAAAGACGAGAGCUUGGUGAUGUUGUGCUGCUGCCGGGCGGGCCAGCCUGUAGCUCAGGCGUUGGCGGGAGCCUCGUGCUCCGCGGGGCUUGUUGGUGAGGGUGGGGUGUGGGGGUACCGUCCUGUAGGCAGGGCUGUGCGUGCCCCCGGUGUGUGCUUGGUGAGCUGCGUUCAGAGAGACCCCCUGUAGUCAGGCGGGCACGUGGCCCUGGCCUUUCAGAGGCACGGGGCCGCGAGAUGCGGGGUUGGGCUUGCGCCCUCCCUGGAAUCAGGGCUGGGAGCCCGAGCGCGGCAUUUGGCCGUGUUGCCCCGCUGCCUGGCAGCUGAGAGUCGAUUCCGCCGCUGGGGGGGAAACCGAGCUCCGUGGCUCCAGGGGUGUUGUCCACCCGCCUGUAAUCAGGGUCUGGGUGCGCGAGCGCUUGUGCUCAGCUGGCAGCCUGUGUGGGGUGACCGCCCCGUUAGCGGGGUGCGGGUCGAGGUGCCCCCUGAGUGGGAGAGAAGGAGCCUCCCGCGGCCGGUAGGGAUGGGGGCUGCCCCGUAAGGCGGGGAGCGCCAGUGCCCCGCAGUCCCAGGCCCUUUGCAACGGAUGCAGUGGCGGGGGUCCCCUGUAAUCAGGGAAGAUGACUCUUUGGCCGCUGCUUUUUGUGUGCCCAGCUCCAUUUGCCCAGUCUGCCCGCCUCUGUGAUCCCCCGCAGCACCGGCUGGAAGCGCGCCGUGCGCCAGUGAGGAGCUGCUGCAGGAGGAGGAGGAGGAGGAAGAAGAAGCGUCGUGGGGACGCGGGAGGCAGGAGCGAGCAAGAAGAGGAUGCCGAAGCGUGCCGACGCGGGGGGGAAGGAGAGAGGCAGGCUGGGCAAAGCAGGUGUCCCGUUAGCGGGGCCGCAGUCACAUGAGAGUUUGAGCGUUGCCGGUGCCUUGGCCGGCUUUGUGCUGGGCGACCUCCCUGUAAGCAGGGCUCGGGUCUUUGCUUUUGCUGUAGUUGGGCUUUUGCCUUGCUGCUCCUUAGGCUGCCUGGGGAGCGUGGCCCCCUGUAACGGAGGGCGAGAGCCACCUCUCCGCACCUGAGUGGGAAAUGGAGCUCGCCGGACCCCGAGGCCGCCCUGUAAGCAGGGUAGUGCCGUUUGCCCGUCCCUCUUCCUCCUCCGGCCCCUCGGCAUCGUUGCCUGGUGGUGGCCCGUAAACACGACGGCCCCGUACUCGGGGUGCGCGUCACGGCAUCUGGCCUUUGGCUUUAGCUGGGAAGCCCCUUGGCAUGUUGAGGUCUGCGGCCUCCGUGCAGGCUAGGGACAGGUCGCAGGCUCUUGUCUGUUGCCCGCGGUUGUGGGUUUAUUCCCAGGGUUUGGCUGCGCUGCGUUGUCCUUCCCUCCUGGAAAGUCGCAUCUGUGUGCGUGUGUUCCCCUUCCUUUCCAUGUUUGUGUCUGUGGUGUGACUGAGCGACUGAGCUUCCCUUUAGGCUCCCACAAAAAUGGCUGCAGCCUAGCUUCGACUUACCAGGGGGGAAUGGAGGGCUUUGGUGCAUGCCACAAAAGGGGUGUUCCCUCUCAGUCCCGCGAGCGCAGCGAGUGUCCUGUCUUCCUCCAAAUUACUUAGCAUAGAUCAGAGCCACGUGGUAGUUCUGUGGCUGAGGCCGCCCUUUAGCCAGGGCUUGGGCCAGUCCUUUAGUGGCGCCUGCUCCGCUGGCGGUGUGACAGCCUCGUAGUCGGGGCGUGUGUCCCAAGCUGCGGAGGCCUCUGUCCCGCGAGCGGCCCGCCCUCCCUGUAAUCAGGUGUGGGGAGGCUGCAGCAUUGCAGCCGGCUGCUCUAGCCAUCCAGCUGGUGGGAUUGAGCCCUCCCUGUCCCGUCAGAGGGUGCAGGUUGAGGUGCUGGUUUUGUGUGUGGGGUGACCUCCCCGCUCGGUGGGUCGAGGUUGCUCCCCGGGUUCCCAAAGACGAGAGCUUGGUGCUGUUGUGGUGCUGCCGGGCGGGCCAGCCUGUAGCUCAGGCGUUGGCGGGAGCCUCGUGCUCCGCGGGGCUUGUUGGUGAGGGUGGGGUGUGGGGGUACCGUCCUGUAGGCAGGGCUGUGCGUGCCCCCGGUGUGUGCUUGGUGAGCUGCGUUCAGAGAGACCCCCUGUAGUCAGGCGGGCACGUGGCCCUGGCCUUUCAGAGGCACGGGGCCGCGAGAUGCGGGGUUGGGCUUGCGCCCUCCCUGGAAUCAGGGCUGGGAGCCCGAGCGCGGCAUUUGGCCGUGUUGCCCCGCUGCCUGGCAGCUGAGAGUCGAUCCCGCCGCUGGGGGGGAAACUGAGCUCCGUGGCUCCAGGGGUGUUGUCCACCCGCCUGUAAUCAGGGUCUGGGUGCGCGAGCGCUUGUGCUCAGCUGGCAGCCUGUGUGGGGUGACCGCCCCGUUAGCGGGGUGCAGGUCGAGGUGCCCCCUGAGUGGGAGAGAAGGAGCCUCCCGCGGCCGGUAGGGAUGGGGGCUGCCCCGUAAGGCGGGGAGCGCCAGUGCCCCGCAGUCCCAGGCCCUUUGCAACGGAUGCAGUGGCGGGGGUCCCCUGUAAUCAGGGAAGAUGACUCUUUGGCCGCUGCUUUUUGUGUGCCCAGCUCCAUUUGCCUAGUCUGCCCGCCUCUGUGAUCCCCCGCAGCACCGGCUGGAAGCGCGCCGUGCGCCAGUGAGGAGCUGCUGCGGGAGGAGGAGGAGGAGGAAGAAGAAGCGUCGUGGGGACGCGGGAGGCAGGAGCGAGCAAGAAGAGGAUGCCGAAGCGUGCCGACGCGGGGGGGAAGGAGAGAGGCAGGCUGGGCAAAGCAGGUGUCCCGUUAGCGGGGCCGCAGUCACAUGAGAGUUUGAGCGUUGCCGGUGCCUUGGCCGGCUUUGUGCUGGGCGACCUCCCUGUAAGCAGGGCUCGGGUCUUUGCUUUUGCUGUAGUUGGGCUUUUGCCUUGCUGCUCCUUAGGCUGCCUGGGGAGCGUGGCCCCCUGUAACGGAGGGCGACAGCCACCUCUCCGCACCUGAGUGGGAAAUGGAGCUCGCCGGACCCCGAGGCCGCCCUGUAAGCAGGGUAGUGCCGUUUGCCCGUCCCUCUUCCUCCUCCGGCCCCUCGGCAUCGUUGCCUGGUGGUGGCCCGUAAACACGACGGCCCCGUACUCGGGGUGCGCAUCACGGCAUCUGGCCUUUGGCUUUAGCUGGGAAGCCCCUUGGCACGUUGAGGUCUGCUGCCUCCGUGCAGGCUAGAGAGAGUUCACAGGCUCUUGGGUGUCCUUUAGUGGGCGCCUGCUCCGCUGGCGGUGUGACAGCCCCGUAGUCGGGGCAUGUGUCCCAAGCUGUGGAGGCCUCUGUCCCGCGAGCGGCCCGCCCUCCCUGUAAUCAGGUGUGGGGAGGCUGCAGCAUUGCAGCCGGCUGCUCUAGCCAUCCAGCUGGUGGGAUUGAGCCCUCCCUGUCCCGUCAGAGGGUGCAGGUUGAGGUGCUGGUUUUGUGUGUGGGGUGACCUCCCCGCUCGGUGGGUCGAGGUUGCUCCCCGGGUUCCCAAAGACGAGAGCUUGGUGAUGUUGUGCUGCUGCCGGGCGGGCCAGCCUGUAGCUCAGGCGUUGGCGGGAGCCUCGUGCUCCGCGGGGCUUGUUGGUGAGGGUGGGGUGUGGGGGUACCGUCCUGUAGGCAGGGCUGUGCGUGCCCCCGGUGUGUGCUUGGUGAGCUGCGUUCAGAGAGACCCCCUGUAGUCAGGCGGGCACGUGGCCCUGGCCUUUCAGAGGCACGGGGCCGCGAGAUGCGGGGUUGGGCUUGCGCCCUCCCUGGAAUCAGGGCUGGGAGCCCGAGCGCGGCAUUUGGCCGUGUUGCCCCGCUGCCUGGCAGCUGAGAGUCGAUUCCGCCGCUGGGGGGGAAACCGAGCUCCGUGGCUCCAGGGGUGUUGUCCACCCGCCUGUAAUCAGGGUCUGGGUGCGCGAGCGCUUGUGCUCAGCUGGCAGCCUGUGUGGGGUGACCGCCCCGUUAGCGGGGUGCGGGUCGAGGUGCCCCCUGAGUGGGAGAGAAGGAGCCUCCCGCGGCCGGUAGGGAUGGGGGCUGCCCCGUAAGGCGGGGAGCGCCAGUGCCCCGCAGUCCCAGGCCCUUUGCAACGGAUGCAGUGGCGGGGGUCCCCUGUAAUCAGGGAAGAUGACUCUUUGGCCGCUGCUUUUUGUGUGCCCAGCUCCAUUUGCCCAGUCUGCCCGCCUCUGUGAUCCCCCGCAGCACCGGCUGGAAGCGCGCCGUGCGCCAGUGAGGAGCUGCUGCAGGAGGAGGAGGAGGAGGAAGAAGAAGCGUCGUGGGGACGCGGGAGGCAGGAGCGAGCAAGAAGAGGAUGCCGAAGCGUGCCGACGCGGGGGGGAAGGAGAGAGGCAGGCUGGGCAAAGCAGGUGUCCCGUUAGCGGGGCCGCAGUCACAUGAGAGUUUGAGCGUUGCCGGUGCCUUGGCCGGCUUUGUGCUGGGCGACCUCCCUGUAAGCAGGGCUCGGGUCUUUGCUUUUGCUGUAGUUGGGCUUUUGCCUUGCUGCUCCUUAGGCUGCCUGGGGAGCGUGGCCCCCUGUAACGGAGGGCGAGAGCCACCUCUCCGCACCUGAGUGGGAAAUGGAGCUCGCCGGACCCCGAGGCCGCCCUGUAAGCAGGGUAGUGCCGUUUGCCCGUCCCUCUUCCUCCUCCGGCCCCUCGGCAUCGUUGCCUGGUGGUGGCCCGUAAACACGACGGCCCCGUACUCGGGGUGCGCGUCACGGCAUCUGGCCUUUGGCUUUAGCUGGGAAGCCCCUUGGCAUGUUGAGGUCUGCGGCCUCCGUGCAGGCUAGGGACAGGUCGCAGGCUCUUGUCUGUUGCCCGCGGUUGUGGGUUUAUUCCCAGGGUUUGGCUGCGCUGCGUUGUCCUUCCCUCCUGGAAAGUCGCAUCUGUGUGCGUGUGUUCCCCUUCCUUUCCAUGUUUGUGUCUGUGGUGUGACUGAGCGACUGAGCUUCCCUUUAGGCUCCCACAAAAAUGGCUGCAGCCUAGCUUCGACUUACCAGGGGGGAAUGGAGGGCUUUGGUGCAUGCCACAAAAGGGGUGUUCCCUCUCAGUCCCGCGAGCGCAGCGAGUGUCCUGUCUUCCUCUAAAUUACUUAGCAUAGAUCAGAGCCACGUGGUAGUUCUGUGGCUGAGGCCGCCCUUUAGCCAGGGCUUGGGCCAGUCCUUUAGUGGGCGCCUGCUCUGCUGGCGGUGUGACAGCCUCGUAGUCGGGGCGUGUGUCCCAAGCUGCGGAGGCCUCUGUCCCGCGAGCGGCCCGCCCUCCCUGUAAUCAGGUGUGGGGAGGCUGCAGCAUUGCAGCCGGCUGCUCUAGCCAUCCAGCUGGUGGGAUUGAGCCCUCCCUGUCCCGUCAGAGGGUGCAGGUUGAGGUGCUGGUUUUGUGUGUGGGGUGACCUCCCCGCUCGGUGGGUCGAGGUUGCUCCCCGGGUUCCCAAAGACGAGAGCUUGGUGCUGUUGUGGUGCUGCCGGGCGGGCCAGCCUGUAGCUCAGGCGUUGGCGGGAGCCUCGUGCUCCGCGGGGCUUGUUGGUGAGGGUGGGGUGUGGGGGUACCGUCCUGUAGGCAGGGCUGUGCGUGCCCCCGGUGUGUGCUUGGUGAGCUGCGUUCAGAGAGACCCCCUGUAGUCAGGCGGGCACGUGGCCCUGGCCUUUCAGAGGCACGGGGCCGCGAGAUGCGGGGUUGGGCUUGCGCCCUCCCUGGAAUCAGGGCUGGGAGCCCGAGCGCGGCAUUUGGCCGUGUUGCCCCGCUGCCUGGCAGCUGAGAGUCGAUCCCGCCGCUGGGGGGGAAACCGAGCUCCGUGGCUCCAGGGGUGUUGUCCACCCGCCUGUAAUCAGGGUCUGGGUGCGCGAGCGCUUGUGCUCAGCUGGCAGCCUGUGUGGGGUGACCGCCCCGUUAGCGGGGUGCGGGUCGAGGUGCCCCCUGAGUGGGAGAGAAGGAGCCUCCCGCGGCCGGUAGGGAUGGGGGCUGCCCCGUAAGGCGGGGAGUGCCAGUGCCUCGCAGUCCCAAGCCCUUUGCAACGGAUGCAGUGGCGGGGGUCCCCUGUAAUCAGGGAAGAUGACUCUUUGGCCGCUGCUUUUUGUGUGCCCAGCUCCAUUUGCCCAGUCUGCCCGCCUCUGUGAUCCCCCGCAGCACCGGCUGGAAGCACGCCGUGCGCCAGUGAGGAGCUGCUGCAGGAGGAGGAGGAAGAAGAAGCGUCGUGGGGACGCGGGAGGCAGGAGCGACCAUGAUGGAGAUUCUUUUUACUGUCAAUGUCUUUCUAUUAACUUGUCUUUUGAAGCCUCAUUUAAAAUGUGUGUAUUGCUGUUGUUACUUCCCAGUUCCCACUAGAGACCUUUGAGAAUAAAGUUUAUUUGUAUG